UAUAUAUAUAGAGAGAGAGAGUUGAGCUGGAAUACUAUCGAUAGUAAACGGGUUUCAUUGUCACAUAUUUGUUUUCGAUGAUGGAGCUUCCAAUUCGACGAUCGGUACCGUUGAAAACGAUCUAUACAACUUGAAGUAUUUAGAAAUCAAAUUUCAUACUUUUUCGAUAUUAUUCUCUUAUUCAUCAAGUGGGCGUAAAAGUAAACAGUUAAAAUAGCUCCAACUUUCUGCCCCAUAACAAUUGAUCCAGAAGACUAAUAAGUUGAAUUGGAUGAGCCUAAUAUAUUGAGUGGCGGUCUAGUCCACAAUAGACCUAACCGCAAAAGGCCCAACAACAGACCCAACAUCUAGAUGAGUUGAGCCGGGUCGAAGCCUGUGAGCACGGUGAUUGAGAUCUUAAGUGCGAUAAAUAUGCUCUUUCUAUUAGCACGUACUUUUAAAAUAAUUGAUUAGCGCUUAUAAUCCACUAUUUCUUCUUUAUUUAU
RNAcentral lists this long non-coding RNA (485 nucleotides) under Ananas comosus (pineapple). RNAcentral describes it as "long non-coding RNA (ACOM_LNC001434)". Lineage: Eukaryota; Viridiplantae; Streptophyta; Magnoliopsida; Poales; Bromeliaceae. The record is from RNAcentral.